RNAcentral lists this transfer RNA (106 nucleotides) under Stegodyphus mimosarum. It matches the Rfam family "tRNA". From Rfam's summary of the family: Transfer RNA (tRNA) molecules are approximately 80 nucleotides in length. Their secondary structure includes four short double-helical elements and three loops (D, anti-codon, and T loops). Lineage: Eukaryota; Metazoa; Arthropoda; Arachnida; Araneae; Eresidae. The record is from Rfam by way of RNAcentral.
GCCUUCGUGGUGUAGUGGUCAGCACGCUGGGCGCGGAUUUCAAAGGUCCUCGUUCGAGUUCCAGCGCGUAUUCCAGAGGUACGUGGUUCGAGUCCUGGCGAAGGCG